CUGAAUAAAUGAUGUGGUGCUUUCUCUUCACAACAAAACAAAGUGCUGCCAGCAGCCUGGUGUUCCUGAGGAGCCCAGCAAUAAUGAAAGGGAAAAAGAAGCCCAGCUCUUGGGAGCAAUUUUGUGCACGAAAUAACCUGAAGAGCAGGAUGUUGGGACUAUUAGGGUGAGCACACAUUUCUCACUGCUUGGUGGACACAGCGCUGGAGGGCAAAGCCAAAAGCCUCCUCCGCGCGUGCUUCUCGAGUGUCUUCUGGCUGCCUGCAGAGAAGGAAAUGCCAAAAGGGGACCUUGCCCUCUACAUCAAGACCCUGAACUCCAUGGACAGCAUGCUGAGGACAAUGGUGCUCAGCUUUCCUGCCUCUCGAGUCAGCGAGGAGCUGCAGGGCAUCUUGGAGGUCUGGCACAAGCAAAAAGGGGGAGUGUUUGAGGGCUGUUACUCACUUGGGGGGAGA
Long non-coding RNA from Pseudopipra pipra, 455 nucleotides. RefSeq lists it as uncharacterized. NCBI's taxonomy places the organism in Eukaryota, Metazoa, Chordata, Aves, Passeriformes, Pipridae. The record is from RefSeq and is a predicted model, not a curated record. The transcript has 3 exons.